UGCGCAGGCGGCCAAGUGUGUGAGGCGUGAAAGCCCGGAGCUUAACUCCGGAAUUGCACCUCAAACUACAUGGCUAGAGCAUUGGAGAGGGUAGUGGAAUUCACGGUGUAGCAGUGAAAUGCGUAGAUAUCGUGAGGAACACCAGAGGCGAAGGCGGCUACCUGGACAAUUGCUGACGCUCAGGCACGAAAGCGUGGGGAGCAAAAG
This 207-nucleotide ribosomal RNA is filed under the name uncultured bacterium. Its description in RNAcentral is "partial 16S ribosomal RNA". It matches the Rfam family "Bacterial small subunit ribosomal RNA", at positions 568 to 774 of the family's 1533-position model. The record is from RNAcentral.